Molecule: long non-coding RNA, 1562 nt
Organism: Aethalodelphis obliquidens (Pacific white-sided dolphin)
Lineage: Eukaryota; Metazoa; Chordata; Mammalia; Artiodactyla; Delphinidae
Exons: 3
Source: RefSeq, a predicted model, not a curated record
UUCUUUGCCCAUUUUAAAAUUUGGUUGAUUGCCUUUUUGUUGUUGAGUUAUAAGAGUUUUUCAAAAUAUACUCUGGAUACCAAGCUCUUAUCAGAUGUGUGAUUCAAAAAUCUCUCUCCAUUCUGUAGGCUGUAUUGUUUUUUAAAAAGAUUAGUUGAAUUGACUAACAGUUAUCUUUAUACUAACAUAAGUUUCCUUCCCUUGUGUUCUGAUGUGCUUUCUUGAGUGGAAGACCUAGUUAGGACCAUGUGAAUACAUAUAAAUCUGUGGUAUAUAUUGCCUCGCUCCUAAUCUUAAUAAGUUUGUGGGAACAAGUUGCUCAUGGGAACAUAUUUUUCAGGAAUAUCAUGGCAAAAAAAAAAAAAAGAUUGAAAAUUGCUUUUUUAGACCAAGGGUCCAGAUCCGAGAAUAGGAUGAUGUAUUCCUGAUUCCUGCAUACCAAAAACUGGUUCAGAGGUGUGAAACAAAAGCACGAGGGACACCAACUAACAUGACAUAUAUGAAGUCUCCUCAGCCACACCAACCUUGCCGUUCCUCAACCCUUGGAUCUUGAGACAGAGUGAUGAAAAAGCAAGAUAAUUCCAUGAUUCUUAUUCCCAACGUUGGCUCAUUCGGCAACCUCCAUAGAACAGAGUGCAGCUCAAGCCGUUAGAAUUUGACUUAUUAAAAGGGGACAUGAGUCUCACAAAGCCUCAAAUACCAGCUUUUUAUUUAAAAAAAAAAAAUAACUAAUAGCAGCAGCAGCAUGAGAUGUAGCAUGAAGCUGAAAUUGUUCAGAUCCUGGAGUUAGAAGGGAAGGAUAUGCACCAAGGAGUGAUUGCCCUUAAUUUAGGAAUAACACAAAGACCAAGUGGGAAAGCAGACUGUUCCCGGCUGAUAAAACCAUGGAGGAUUUCAAGUUUCCCGACACCUCUAGACAGGGCCCUAGCAAAUAUUAAGCACAGAGUGAAAACCAUCUUUAACAUUCGGCUAUAGACUUUUAGAUCUGGACUGUGCUUCAUCUUAAAGGUGGCCCACUGGCAUGUAGCACGCAGAGACAGAAUAAAAGCCGUUGAUUCUUCCUUGUGAAAUCAAUCCCGCUGGCUACCUACAGCCAAAUUCUAGACAAAUCAGAGCCAUCUAGUAACAUAAGUAUAAACUGGAGACUGUGUAUGCUCAGGGCCAGCAGAAACCAUGGAGGAACUUGGUGGGUGAUGCGAAAAGUACAGAAAUCUACUCUGCCUCUAAUACUUCGCCGCUUCUUCCAGUCCCAGUGGACACAACGAUCACCAGCAGAUGAAAUGUUUACUGAGGUUUUGUUACAUGCUGGAGACAGCGCUAGAUCAUCAAAGACAAAGCUCCUGUUCUGAAGAUUCUGUUCUAGUGUUGCGUGUGUCAAGUGGAAAAAAACAUGACUGUGGGCAGCCUCGGUCAAGGAAGGCUUAAUGGAGCUUAUCCAAGAACAGCAAGCCGGUCAUCCCCAAGGAUCUGAGGGAAUGAGACAUUGAACAGGUAAGUUUUUUUUUUUUUUGCAGUACGCGGGCCUCUCCCUGUUGUGGCCUCCUGCUAUUGUGGCCUCUCGC